Non-coding RNA from Cherax quadricarinatus, 539 nucleotides. NCBI's taxonomy places the organism in Eukaryota, Metazoa, Arthropoda, Malacostraca, Decapoda, Parastacidae. The record is from RefSeq and is a predicted model, not a curated record.
AGUGUGCCUCUGGCAGUGGUCGAGGGAGGAUGUGCGUCACAUCGCUCCCGUAACUCCCCUUAAACCACUUAAAAAAAACCCGAGUUUUUUACCCCCUUAUACAGAAAACGGAGGUGUCUGCUACAAUAUAGAAAAUGGAGGGUGGUAAACAUAAGAUAGAACACUGUAACCAACUCCAGGCACACACUCCCACCUCGUUAAAUAUUAAAUAAUGGAAAUCUAGCCAGCUAAAUUAAACGACAGAAAAUUAAAACAGUUGGGAACUGUGCCGGGAAUUCCAGAGAAUUUUUUGAUAGCGUGUUGAAAAAAAUGAUGGCUAGCCAAUCACAAGGCCAGCUUCCCGGAGGGGCAGCCAAUCACCGAGCCAGCUACGCAGAAGGUUAGCCAAUCAGAGAACCACCUUAUCAACCAGCCCACCAAUCACCGAGCCAGCUUCGCAGAAGGUUAGCCAAUCAGAGAACCACCUUGUCAACCAGCCCACCAAUCACCGAGCCAGCUUCGCAGAAGGUUAGCCAAUCAGAGAACCACCUUAUCAACCA